CUCCCCGCCGCCGUUGUACCUUUUCCAGGGCAUCGUGCCACAUCUCCGUACGAGUGACAUCUCUCCAGUCCAGUAUGCACUCCUCUGAUACAGGCCCAUCCUGUUGGGCCAAGUGCUGCUGCAACCUCCAGCGAAACUCCUCUUCCAUGUUGCUGUGGAUAGGGACGCUGCCCGUAGCUAGCUCUAUCCCUUGAGUUCCUCUGAAGCCAGGGUCGCUGCACAAGUGCUAGCGUUGCCCUCAAUUAUAAAUCCGUAACUCCACACGUUACCGGUGU
Pelobates cultripes (western spadefoot toad) is the source of this 275-nucleotide non-coding RNA. Lineage: Eukaryota; Metazoa; Chordata; Amphibia; Anura; Pelobatidae. The record is from the annotation of a GenBank genome assembly.